GUGACAGGUGGUGCAUGGUUGUCGUCAGCUCGUGUCGUGAGAUGUUGGGUUAAGUCCCGCAACGAGCGCAACCCUUAAGCUUAGUUGCCAGCAUUAAGUUGGGCACUCUAAGUUGACUGCCGGUGACAAACCGGAGGAAGGUGGGGAUGACGUCAAAUCAUCAUGCCCCUUAUGAUUUGGGCUACACACGUGCUACAAUGGACAAUACAAAGGGCAGCUAAACCGCGAGGUCAUGCAAAUCCCAUAAAGUUGUUCUCAGUUCGGAUUGUAGUCUGCAACUCGACUACAUGAAGCUGGAAUCGCUAGUAAUCGUAGAUCAGCAUGCUACGGUGAAUACGUUCCCGGGUCUUGUACACACCGCCCGUCACACCACGAGAGUUUGUAACACCCGAAGCCGGUGGAGUAACCAUUUAUGGAGCUAGCCGUCGAAGGUGGGACAAAUGAUUGGGGUGAAGUCGUAACAAGGUAGCCGUAUCGGAAGGUGCGGCUGGAUCACCUC
Molecule: ribosomal RNA, 499 nt
Filed under: uncultured bacterium
Lineage: Bacteria
Description: bacterial SSU rRNA
Rfam family: Bacterial small subunit ribosomal RNA
Source: RNAcentral